Molecule: ribosomal RNA, 409 nt
Filed under: Trochalus sp. DA0669
Lineage: Eukaryota; Metazoa; Arthropoda; Insecta; Coleoptera; Scarabaeidae
Description: partial 16S large subunit ribosomal RNA
Source: RNAcentral
UUUAAGGUCUAAUCUGCCCUAUGAGGAGUUAAAUGGCCGCGGUAUUUUGACCGUGCAAAGGUAGCAUAAUAAUUAGUUUUUUAAUUGAAAGCUGGAAUGAAUGAUUGGACGAGAAAAUUUCUGUCUCAAUUUAAUUUAAUUAGAAUUUUAUUUUUAAGUAAAAAAGCUUAAAUUUCUUUAAAAGACGAGAAGACCCUAUAGAGUUUUAUAUGUUGAUUUAUAUUGGAAUUUUUAGUAUUUUAUUUUUUAUAUAAUUAUUAAUAUAUUUUAUUGGGGUGAUAGAAAAAUUUAAUUAACUUUUUUUAUAUUGUUACAUUUAUUUAUGGUUAAAUGAUCCAUUUUUUAUGAUUAUAAGUUUAAAUUACCUUAGGGAUAACAGCGUAAUUUUUUUUUAGAGUCUAUCGAAAAA